UACGUAGGGUGCAAGCGUUGUCCGGAAUUAUUGGGCGUAAAGAGCUCGUAGGCGGUUUGUCGCGUCUGCUGUGAAAACUCGGGGCUUAACUCCGGGCCUGCGGUGGGUACGGGCAGACUAGAGUGCGGUAGGGGAGACUGGAAUUCCUGGUGUAGCGGUGAAAUGCGCAGAUAUCAGGAGGAACACCGGUGGUGUAGACGGCUCUCUGGACCGUAACUGACGCUGAGACACGAAAGCGUGGGUAGCAAACAGG
RNAcentral lists this ribosomal RNA (253 nucleotides) under uncultured bacterium. Its description in RNAcentral is "partial 16S ribosomal RNA". It matches the Rfam family "Bacterial small subunit ribosomal RNA", at positions 524 to 776 of the family's 1533-position model. The record is from RNAcentral.